Molecule: unclassified non-coding RNA, 228 nt
Filed under: plant metagenome
Description: partial contains small subunit ribosomal RNA, internal transcribed spacer 1, and 5.8S ribosomal RNA
Rfam family: Eukaryotic small subunit ribosomal RNA (bases 1-53)
Source: RNAcentral
GGAAGUAAAAGUCGAACAAGGUUUCCGUAGGUGAACCUGCGGAAGGAUCAUUCAUAAUAAGUGUUUUAUGGCACUUUUUUAAAUCCAUAUCCACCUUGUGUGCAAUGUCAGGGUUGGUCUCUUUUGAUCAGCCCCAAACAUCAACUAUUAUCUCAACUCUUUGUCUGAAAAAUAUUAUGAAUAAAACAAUUCAAAAUACAACUUUCAACAACGGAUCUCUUGGCUCUC